Molecule: ribosomal RNA, 273 nt
Filed under: uncultured bacterium
Lineage: Bacteria
Description: partial 16S ribosomal RNA
Rfam family: Bacterial small subunit ribosomal RNA
Source: RNAcentral
AUACGGAGGGUGCAAGCGUUACUCGGAAUUACUGGGCGUAAAGGACGCGUAGGCGGUUUAGAAAGUCAGAUGUGAAAGCCUAUGGCUUAACCAUAGAACUGCAUUUGAAACUUCCAAACUAGAGUGGGGGAGAGGUCAGUGGAAUUAGUGGUGUAGGGGUAAAAUCCGUAGAGAUCACUAGGAAUACUCAUUGCGAAGGCGACUGACUGGAACUUAACUGACGCUGAGGCGUGAAAGCGUGGGGAGCAACAGGAUUAGAAACCCCGGUAGUCC